GAUGAACGCUGGCGGCGUGCCUAAUACAUGCAAGUCGAGCGAACGGACGAGAAGCUUGCUUCUCUGAUGUUAGCGGCGGACGGGUGAGUAACACGUGGAUAACCUACCUAUAAGACUGGGAUAACUUCGGGAAACCGGAGCUAAUACCGGAUAAUAUUUUGAACCGCAUGGUUCAAAAGUGAAAGACGGUCUUGCUGUCACUUAUAGAUGGAUCCGCGCUGCAUUAGCUAGUUGGUAAGGUAACGGCUUACCAAGGCAACGAUGCAUAGCCGACCUGAGAGGGUGAUCGGCCACACUGGAACUGAGACACGGUCCAGACUCCUACGGGAGGCAGCAGUAGGGAAUCUUCCGCAAUGGGCGAGAGCCUGACGGAGCAACGCCGCGUGAGUGAUGAAGGUCUUCGGAUCGUAAAACUCUGUUAUUAGGGAAGAACAUAUGUGUAAGUAACUGUGCACAUCUUGACGGUACCUAAUCAGAAAGCCACGGCUAGCUACGUGCCAGCAGCCGCGGUAAUACGUAGGUGGCAAGCGUUAUCCGGAAUUAUUGGGCGUAAAGCGCGUGUAGGCGGUUUUUUAAGUCUGAUGUGAAAGCCCACGGCUCAACCGUGGAGGGUCAUUGGAAACUGGAAAACUUGAGUGCAGAAGAGGAAAGUGGAAUUCCAUGUGUAGCGGUGAAAUGCGCAGAGAUAUGGAGGAACACCAGUGGCGAAGGCGACUUUCUGGUCUGUAACUGACGCUGAUGUGCGAAAGCGUGGGGAUCAAACAGGAUUAGAUACCCUGGUAGUCCACGCCGUAAACGAUGAGUGCUAAGUGUUAGGGGGUUUCCGCCCCUUAGUGCUGCAGCUAACGCAUUAAGCACUCCGCCUGGGGAGUACGACCGCAAGGUUGAAACUCAAAGGAAUUGACGGGGACCCGCACAAGCGGUGGAGCAUGUGGUUUAAUUCGAAGCAACGCGAAGAACCUUACCAAAUCUUGACAUCCUUUGACAACUCUAGAGAUAGAGCUUUCCCCUUCGGGGGACAAAGUGACAGGUGGUGCAUGGUUGUCGUCAGCUCGUGUCGUGAGAUGUUGGGUUAAGUCCCGCAACGAGCGCAACCCUUAAGCUUAGUUGCCAUCAUUAAGUUGGGCACUCUAAGUUGACUGCCGGUGACAAACCGGAGGAAGGUGGGGAUGACGUCAAAUCAUCAUGCCCCUUAUGAUUUGGGCUACACACGUGCUACAAUGGACAAUACAAAGGGCAGCGAAACCGCGAGGUCAAGCAAAUCCCAUAAAGUUGUUCUCAGUUCGGAUUGUAGUCUGCAACUCGACUACAUGAAGCUGGAAUCGCUAGUAAUCGUAGAUCAGCAUGCUACGGUGAAUACGUUCCCGGGUCU
This 1372-nucleotide ribosomal RNA is filed under the name uncultured bacterium. RNAcentral's name for it is "bacterial SSU rRNA". It matches the Rfam family "Bacterial small subunit ribosomal RNA", at positions 28 to 1381 of the family's 1533-position model. The record is from RNAcentral.